UACGGGGGGAGCAAGCGUUGUUCGGAUUUACUGGGCGUAAAGGGCGCGUAGGCGGUCGUGACAAGUCACUUGUGAAAUCUCCGGGCUUAACUCGGAACGGUCAAGUGAUACUGUCGUGCUAGAGUACAGAAGGGGCAACUGGAAUUCUCGGUGUAGCGGUGAAAUGCGUAGAUAUCGAGAGGAACACCUGCGGCGAAGGCGGGUUGCUGGGCUGACACUGACGCUGAGGCGCGAAAGCUAGGGGAGCGAACGGG
This 254-nucleotide ribosomal RNA is filed under the name uncultured bacterium. RNAcentral's name for it is "partial 16S ribosomal RNA". It matches the Rfam family "Bacterial small subunit ribosomal RNA", at positions 524 to 776 of the family's 1533-position model. The record is from RNAcentral.